This 249-nucleotide ribosomal RNA is filed under the name uncultured bacterium. Its description in RNAcentral is "partial 16S ribosomal RNA". It matches the Rfam family "Bacterial small subunit ribosomal RNA", at positions 524 to 776 of the family's 1533-position model. The record is from RNAcentral.
CACGUAGGGUGCGAGCGUUGUCCGGAAUUAUUGGCGUAAAGAGCUCGUAGGCGGUGUGUCGCGUCGGCCGUGAAAACCUGCAGCUUAACUGUGGGCUUGCGUCGAUACGGGCAUCACUGGAGUUCGGCAGGGGAGACUGAAUUCCUGGUGUAGCGUGAAAUGCGCAGAUAUCAGGAGGAACACCGGUGGCGAAGGCGGGUCUCUGGCCGAUACUGACGCUGAGGAGCGAAAGCGUGGGGAGCGAACAGG